UACAGAGGGCUCAAGCGUUGUUCGGAUUCAUUGGGCGUAAAGGGUGCGUAGGCGGCGCGGUAAGUCGGGUGUGAAAUCUCGGAGCUUAACUCCGAAACUGCAUUCGAUACUGCCGUGCUUGAGGACUGGAGAGGAGACUGGAAUUUACGGUGUAGCAGUGAAAUGCGUAGAGAUCGUAAGGAAGACCAGUGGCGAAGGCGGGUCUCUGGACAGUUCCUGACACUGAGGCACGAAGGCCAGGGGAGCAAACGGG
RNAcentral lists this ribosomal RNA (253 nucleotides) under uncultured bacterium. RNAcentral describes it as "partial 16S ribosomal RNA". It matches the Rfam family "Bacterial small subunit ribosomal RNA", at positions 524 to 776 of the family's 1533-position model. The record is from RNAcentral.